GACGAACGCUGGCGGCGUGCUUAACACAUGCAAGUCGAACGAUGAACCCGGAGCUUGCUCUGGGGGAUUAGUGGCGAACGGGUGAGUAACACGUGAGUAACCUGCCCUGGACUCUGGGAUAAGCGUUGGAAACGACGUCUAAUACCGGAUAGGAGCUUGGAUCGCAUGAUCUGGGGUGGAAAGUUUCUUCGGUCUGGGAUGGACUCGCGGCCUAUCAGCUUGUUGGUGAGGUAAUGGCUCACCAAGGCUUCGACGGGUAGCCGGCCUGAGAGGGUGACCGGCCAGACUGAGAGGGACACACGGACGAGACAGCCUCGGACGGCAGGCAUCGGGAGGAUUGCUUAAUGAGCGAACGCCUGCCGGAGCAAGGACGCGUGCGGGCUGAAGGCCUUCGGGUUGUAAGCAGCCUUCAGUAGGCAAGAAGGGAGUCGGCUUGACGGUACUUGCAGAAAAAGGACCGGCUAACUACGUG
Molecule: ribosomal RNA, 472 nt
Filed under: uncultured bacterium
Lineage: Bacteria
Description: partial 16S ribosomal RNA
Rfam family: Bacterial small subunit ribosomal RNA
Source: RNAcentral